CCUAUGGGGGGCUGCAGUGGGGAAUAUUGGACAAUGGGGGCAACCCUGAUCCAGCCAUGCCGCGUGUGUGAAGAAGGCCCUCGGGUUGUAAAGCACUUUCAGUGAGGAAGAACGCCUGGUGGUUAAUACCCAUCAGGAAAGACAUCACUCACAGAAGAAGCACCGGCUAACUCCGUGCCAGCAGCCGCGGUAAUACGGAGGGUGCGAGCGUUAAUCGGAAUUACUGGGCGUAAAGCGCGCGUAGGUGGCUUGAUAAGCCGGUUGUGAAAGCCCCGGGCUCAACCUGGGAACGGCAUCCGGAACUGUCAAGCUAGAGUGCAGGAGAGGAAGGUAGAAUUCCCGGUGUAGCGGUGAAAUGCGUAGAGAUCGGGAGGAAUACCAGUGGCGAAGGCGGCCUUCUGGACUGACACUGACACUGAGGUGCGAAAGCGUGGGUAGCAAACAGGAUUAGAUACCCUUGUAGUC
RNAcentral lists this ribosomal RNA (465 nucleotides) under Vreelandella stevensii. RNAcentral's name for it is "partial 16S ribosomal RNA". It matches the Rfam family "Bacterial small subunit ribosomal RNA", at positions 338 to 795 of the family's 1533-position model. Lineage: Bacteria; Pseudomonadati; Pseudomonadota; Gammaproteobacteria; Oceanospirillales; Halomonadaceae. The record is from RNAcentral.